Molecule: non-coding RNA, 576 nt
Organism: Camelina sativa (false flax)
Lineage: Eukaryota; Viridiplantae; Streptophyta; Magnoliopsida; Brassicales; Brassicaceae
Source: RefSeq, a predicted model, not a curated record
UUUUGUAGAGUGAUGUGAAACGACAAACUGAUAUUUUCAAAGUUGUCGGUUUGUAUUUUUUUUUUCAUAUGUCAAAUAUCUAGUUCUUCAGUUUAUUCCACCAAUUUAAUGAAACCGUGAAAGAAUUUGGGCUGAUUUUCUGUAAUCUGUGAAGAUAAUCGGUUAAAUCCAUUGUAUGCUUGCUGAAACUCGUCUAGAUCGAAGUCACAGCUGAUCGAUGAGUCAACCAUUCGUAUCAGUUUGGCAUAAGAGCAUGGAAUCAUGGUUGUUUUCGUUGAGUAUGGUUCAACAAACUCUUCUCAGACUGAUACAACCCAACUGUUGAGAGCGUUUGGCCUUGACUUUUGUCGAUUGUCAUUGCAAAUGCAGCAGUCAACGGAAAUUGCAUGCGCCUCAUCUUAAAAGUUGGUCCCUAAAAGUUUCGGUGAGAGCAUUCUUGAUGGUAGCUUGAAUUUUGUCCCCCUAUAAAAGUUUGGGAAACAACAAAGCAAUUAGUAUAAAGUAAUAUAUAACAUAAACCAAAAAUAUGUAAUCGAAUUCAAAAAAGAGUUAACGAAAGAAUUAGAGUUAACUAAA